CCAUGCCGCGUGCGGGAAGAAGGCCUUCGGGUUGUAAACCGCUUUCGGCCGGAACGAAAUCGCCCGGGUGAACAUCCCGGGUGGAUGACGGUACCGGAAGAAGAAGCACCGGCUAACUACGUGCCAGCAGCCGCGGUAAUACGUAGGGUGCGAGCGUUAAUCGGAAUUACUGGGCGUAAAGCGUGCGCAGGCGGUUUCGUAAGACAGGUGUGAAAGCCCCGGGCUUAACCUGGGAAUUGCGCUUGUGACUGCGAGGCUGGAGUGCGGCAGAGGGAGGUGGAAUUCCACGUGUAGCAGUGAAAUGCGUAGAGAUGUGGAGGAACACCGAUGGCGAAGGCAGCCUCCUGGGCUAGCACUGACGCUCAUGCACGAAAGCGUGGGGAGCAAACAGGAUUAGAUACCCUGGUAGUCCACGCCCUAAACGAUGGCGACUAGUUGUUGGGGUAGCAGUACCUUAGUAACGCAGCUAACGCGUGAAGUCGCCCGCCUGGGGAGUACGGUCGCAAGAUUA
RNAcentral lists this ribosomal RNA (511 nucleotides) under uncultured Pseudomonadota bacterium. RNAcentral describes it as "bacterial SSU rRNA". It matches the Rfam family "Bacterial small subunit ribosomal RNA", at positions 392 to 896 of the family's 1533-position model. The record is from RNAcentral. Lineage: Bacteria; Pseudomonadati; Pseudomonadota.